Molecule: small nuclear RNA, 107 nt
Organism: Tachyglossus aculeatus (Australian echidna)
Lineage: Eukaryota; Metazoa; Chordata; Mammalia; Monotremata; Tachyglossidae
Source: RefSeq, a predicted model, not a curated record
CGCUCAAUAAAUAUGAUCGAUAUACUAAAAUUGGAACGAUACAGAGAAGAUUAGCAUGGCCCCUGCGCAAGGAUGACACGCAAAUGCGUGAAGCGUUCCAUCUUUUU